This 1480-nucleotide ribosomal RNA is filed under the name Pectobacterium brasiliense. Its description in RNAcentral is "bacterial SSU rRNA". It matches the Rfam family "Bacterial small subunit ribosomal RNA". Lineage: Bacteria; Pseudomonadati; Pseudomonadota; Gammaproteobacteria; Enterobacterales; Pectobacteriaceae. The record is from RNAcentral.
CAGCUCAGAUUGAACGCUGGCGGCAGGCCUAACACAUGCAAGUCGAGCGGUAGCACAGAAGAGCUUGCUCUUUGGGUGACGAGCGGCGGACGGGUGAGUAAUGUCUGGGAAACUGCCUGAUGGAGGGGGAUAACUACUGGAAACGGUAGCUAAUACCGCAUAACCUCGCAAGAGCAAAGAGGGGGACCUUCGGGCCUCUCGCCAUCAGAUGUGCCCAGAUGGGAUUAGCUAGUAGGUGAGGUAAUGGCUCACCUAGGCGACGAUCCCUAGCUGGUCUGAGAGGAUGACCAGCCACACUGGAACUGAGACACGGUCCAGACUCCUACGGGAGGCAGCAGUGGGGAAUAUUGCACAAUGGGCGCAAGCCUGAUGCAGCCAUGCCGCGUGUGUGAAGAAGGCCUUCGGGUUGUAAAGCACUUUCAGCGGGGAGGAAGGCGGUAAGGUUAAUAACCUUAUCGAUUGACGUUACCCGCAGAAGAAGCACCGGCUAACUCCGUGCCAGCAGCCGCGGUAAUACGGAGGGUGCAAGCGUUAAUCGGAAUGACUGGGCGUAAAGCGCACGCAGGCGGUCUGUUAAGUUGGAUGUGAAAUCCCCGGGCUUAACCUGGGAACUGCAUUCAAAACUGACAGGCUAGAGUCUUGUAGAGGGGGGUAGAAUUCCAGGUGUAGCGGUGAAAUGCGUAGAGAUCUGGAGGAAUACCGGUGGCGAAGGCGGCCCCCUGGACAAAGACUGACGCUCAGGUGCGAAAGCGUGGGGAGCAAACAGGAUUAGAUACCCUGGUAGUCCACGCUGUAAACGAUGUCGAUUUGGAGGUUGUGCCCUUGAGGCGUGGCUUCCGGAGCUAACGCGUUAAAUCGACCGCCUGGGGAGUACGGCCGCAAGGUUAAAACUCAAAUGAAUUGACGGGGGCCCGCACAAGCGGUGGAGCAUGUGGUUUAAUUCGAUGCAACGCGAAGAACCUUACCUACUCUUGACAUCCAGAGAACUUAGCAGAGAUGCUUUGGUGCCUUCGGGAACUCUGAGACAGGUGCUGCAUGGCUGUCGUCAGCUCGUGUUGUGAAAUGUUGGGUUAAGUCCCGCAACGAGCGCAACCCUUAUCCUUUGUUGCCAGCGAUUCGGUCGGGAACUCAAAGGAGACUGCCGGUGAUAAACCGGAGGAAGGUGGGGAUGACGUCAAGUCAUCAUGGCCCUUACGAGUAGGGCUACACACGUGCUACAAUGGCGUAUACAAAGAGAAGCGACCUCGCGAGAGCAAGCGGACCUCAUAAAGUACGUCGUAGUCCGGAUUGGAGUCUGCAACUCGACUCCAUGAAGUCGGAAUCGCUAGUAAUCGUAGAUCAGAAUGCUACGGUGAAUACGUUCCCGGGCCUUGUACACACCGCCCGUCACACCAUGGGAGUGGGUUGCAAAAGAAGUAGGUAGCUUAACCUUCGGGAGGGCGCUUACCACUUUGUGAUUCAUGACUGGGGGUGAAGUCUA